This 576-nucleotide ribosomal RNA is filed under the name uncultured bacterium. RNAcentral describes it as "bacterial SSU rRNA". It matches the Rfam family "Bacterial small subunit ribosomal RNA", at positions 102 to 666 of the family's 1533-position model. The record is from RNAcentral.
ACGGGUGAGUAACACGUAGGCAACCUGCCCCCAAGAUCGGGAUAACAUUCGGAAACGAAUGCUAAGACCGGAUAAACAUUUCGCUCGCAUGAGGGGAAUGGGAAACACGGAGCAAUCUGUGGCUUGGGGAUGGGCCUGCGGCGCAUUAGCUAGUUGGUGGGGUAAAGGCUCACCAAGGCGACGAUGCGUAGCCGACCUGAGAGGGUGAACGGCCACACUGGGACUGAGACACGGCCCAGACUCCUACGGGAGGCAGCAGUAGGGAAUCUUCCACAAUGGGCGCAAGCCUGAUGGAGCAACGCCGCGUGAGUGAGGAAGGCUUUCGGGUCGUAAAGCUCUGUUGCCGGGGAAGAAUAAGGGUGUGUUAACUGCACAUUCGAUGACGGUACCUGAGAAGAAAGCCCCGGCUAACUACGUGCCAGCAGCCGCGGUAAUACGUAGGGGGCAAGCGUUGUCCGGAAUUAUUGGGCGUAAAGCGCGCGCAGGCGGUUCUUUAAGUCUGGUGUCUAAGGCUCGGGCUCAACCCGUGUUUGCACUGGAAACUGGAGAACUUGAGUGCAGAAGAGGAGAGCGGAA